GAUGAACGCUAGCGGCAGGCCUAAUACAUGCAAGACGAACGGUAAGUUGAGUAGCAAUACUUAGCCAAGAGUGUCGUACGGGUGCGUAACACGUAUGCAACCUACCCUAUACAGGAGGAUAGCCUAGGGAACCUGGAUUAACCCUUCAUAGUAUUAUUGGAUGGCAUCAUUUGAUAAUUAAAACUGAGUGGUAUAGGAUGGGCAUGCGUCUGAUUAGUUAGUUGGCGGGGGUAAUGGCCCACCAAGACGAUGAUCAGUAGGGGUUCUGAGAGGAAGAUCCCCCACACUGGCACUGAGAUACGGGCCAGACUCCUACGGGAGGCAGCAGUAGGGAAUAUUGGUCAAUGGAUGCAAGUCUGAACCAGCCAUGCCGCGU
This 376-nucleotide ribosomal RNA is filed under the name uncultured bacterium. Its description in RNAcentral is "bacterial SSU rRNA". It matches the Rfam family "Bacterial small subunit ribosomal RNA", at positions 28 to 402 of the family's 1533-position model. The record is from RNAcentral.